Setaria italica (foxtail millet) is the source of this 332-nucleotide long non-coding RNA. RefSeq lists it as uncharacterized. Lineage: Eukaryota; Viridiplantae; Streptophyta; Magnoliopsida; Poales; Poaceae. The record is from RefSeq and is a predicted model, not a curated record. The transcript is spliced from 3 exons.
CCCCCUUCUUCUCUCUUCUAUUUUUACCCGAAGACGAAUUUCCUCACCGGCGAACGGCGGCGCUGCCGUUCCUACGCGGCAUAGGAGCAGGACUCGAAUUCGAAUCCGAGGUUGCAGCUUCAGGAUAGCGCAGCAGGACUACUUGGGGAUUGGAUCUUCACGUUCGGAUCCUGUGAAAGAUUUGCAUUUGGUGUCGGUGGGUUGGCAUCUAUGCUGUCCAGGCAAUAGACUACUUCCCAUAUUGUUGGCCUCAUGCUAGGAUUAUGGUUGACACACUGGCAAGCGACUUCAAGCAUCUUCAACAUCUGCCCUUCAUACCCUGUGCCCUGGAG